Molecule: ribosomal RNA, 509 nt
Filed under: uncultured bacterium
Lineage: Bacteria
Description: bacterial SSU rRNA
Rfam family: Bacterial small subunit ribosomal RNA
Source: RNAcentral
AGGGUUUGAUCCUGGCUCAGGACGAACGCUGGCGGUGCGCCUUAUGCAUGCAAGUCGAGCGAAGCUUUUCAGUAGUUUACUACAGAAAAUGACUGAGCGGCGAACGGGUGAGUAACGCGUGAGCAAUCUACCUUAGUUACAGGGAUAGCCCGAGGAAACUCGGAUUAAUACCUGAUAUUCUUUAUAUUUCGCAUGAAAUUAAAAGGAAAGGUCAGCCGAACUAAGAUGAGCUCGCGUUCUAUCAGCUAGUUGGUGAGGUAAAAGCUCACCAAGGCUACGACGGAUAGCUGGUCUGAGAGGACGAUCAGCCACACUGGGACUGAGACACGGCCCAGACUCCUACGGGAGGCUGCAGCAGGGAAUAUUGUGCAAUGAACGAAAGUUUGACACAGCGACACCGCGUGUGGGAUGACGGAUCUAGGUUUGUAAACCACUUUCAGGAGGGAAGAAGAUGACGGUACCUCCACAAGAAGCCCCGGCCAACUACGUGCCAGCCGCCGCGGUAAUAC